UACGUAGGUGGCGAGCGUUGUCCGGAUUUACUGGGCGUAAAGGGCGUGCAGGCGGUUUGUUAAGUGCAGGGUGAAAGCUCCCGGCUCAACUGGGAGAGGUCCUUGCAUACUGGCGAACUCGAGGGAGGCAGAGGAAAGUGGAAUUCCCGGUGUAGUGGUGAUAUGCGUAGAUAUCGGGAGGAACACCAGUGGCGAAGGCGGCUUCCUGGACCGGUUCUGACACUGAGGAGCGAAAGCGUGGGGAGCGAUCCGG
Molecule: ribosomal RNA, 253 nt
Filed under: uncultured bacterium
Lineage: Bacteria
Description: partial 16S ribosomal RNA
Rfam family: Bacterial small subunit ribosomal RNA
Source: RNAcentral